Molecule: ribosomal RNA, 468 nt
Filed under: uncultured bacterium
Lineage: Bacteria
Description: partial 16S ribosomal RNA
Rfam family: Bacterial small subunit ribosomal RNA
Source: RNAcentral
GAUGAACGCUGACAGAAUGCUUAACACAUGCAAGUCAACUUGAAUUUGGGUUUUUUAACUUAGAUUUGGGUGGCGGACGGGUGAGUAACGCGUAAAGAACUUGCCUCACAGCUAGGGACAACAUUUGGAAACGAAUGCUAAUACCUGAUAUUAUGAUUAUAAGGCAUCUUAGAAUUAUGAAAGCUAUAUGCGCUGUGAGAGAGCUUUGCGUCCCAUUAGCUAGUUGGAGAGGUAACGGCUCACCAAGGCGAUGAUGGGUAGCCGGCCUGAGAGGGUGAACGGCCACAAGGGGACUGAGACACGGCCCUUACUCCUACGGGAGGCAGCAGUGGGGAAUAUUGGACAAUGGACCAAGAGUCUGAUCCAGCAAUUCUGUGUGCACGAUGACGUUUUUCGGGAUGUAAAGUGCUUUCAGUUGGGAAGAAAAAAAUGACGGUACCAACAGAAGAAGUGACGGCUAAAUACGUG